UAAGGCUACAUUCCAAUCUCCAUGCGCCGAUUGGUUCUUUCCCCCCACCGCAAGACUGAAACACCACCACACUCGGUGGCCAGCAGCACUUAAAAAAUGGGUUUUCAACCUUGAUUCAAGGCCGUGUUCUGUUUCUGCCUAUUUCUUUGCUCAAAUCGCAGGUGCUGUGAGGACGUGAAGGAGGAGUGCACAACGUGGGGCGUGCAACGCGGGCUGGGGGUUGUGCCUGAUGUGCCUACGUGCAUGGUGGAGGGAUGCUGAAUGCGGAGCUGCAGUGCAAGGGGUAGCCUAGGGUUUGUUGUUUCUGAAAAAAAAAAUAUUUGGGCUUGUAUUGGGCUGCUGUAGGAUGGACUUGUAUUUAAUUUGUUUGUUUACUUUUUAUUUUGGUAUGGGCCUAGGCGAAAUUGGGCCACUACACGUGUUAUUAAACAAUUUUAAAAAAAUUAACUUAGAGAAAAAAACAAUUAUUAUCUGAUAAGAAAAUAAA
Long non-coding RNA from Gossypium arboreum, 487 nucleotides. RefSeq lists it as uncharacterized. The record is from RefSeq and is a predicted model, not a curated record. The transcript has 2 exons. NCBI's taxonomy places the organism in Eukaryota, Viridiplantae, Streptophyta, Magnoliopsida, Malvales, Malvaceae.